This 1377-nucleotide ribosomal RNA is filed under the name metagenome. Its description in RNAcentral is "bacterial SSU rRNA". It matches the Rfam family "Bacterial small subunit ribosomal RNA". The record is from RNAcentral.
AGAGUUUGAUCCUGGCUCAGGACGAACGCUGGCGGCGCGCCUAACACAUGCAAGUCGAACGAGCGAGAGAGAGCUUGCUUUCUUGAGCGAGUGGCGAACGGGUGAGUAACGCGUGAGGAACCUGCCUCAAAGAGGGGGACAACAGUUGGAAACGACUGCUAAUACCGCAUAAGCCCACGGCUCGGCAUCGAGCAGAGGGAAAAGGAGCAAUCCGCUUUGAGAUGGCCUCGCGUCCGAUUAGCUAGUUGGUGAGGUAACGGCCCACCAAGGCGACGAUCGGUAGCCGGACUGAGAGGUUGAACGGCCACAUUGGGACUGAGACACGGCCCAGACUCCUACGGGAGGCAGCAGUGGGGAAUAUUGCACAAUGGGGGAAACCCUGAUGCAGCGACGCCGCGUGGAGGAAGAAGGUCUUCGGAUUGUAAACUCCUGUUGUUGAGGAAGAUAAUGACGGUACUCAACAAGGAAGUGACGGCUAACUACGUGCCAGCAGCCGCGGUAAAACGUAGGUCACAAGCGUUGUCCGGAAUUACUGGGUGUAAAGGGAGCGCAGGCGGGAAGACAAGUUGGAAGUGAAAUCCAUGGGCUCAACCCAUGAACUGCUUUCAAAACUGUUUUUCUUGAGUAGUGCAGAGGUAGGCGGAAUUCCCGGUGUAGCGGUGGAAUGCGUAGAUAUCGGGAGGAACACCAGUGGCGAAGGCGGCCUACUGGGCACCAACUGACGCUGAGGCUCGAAAGUGUGGGUAGCAAACAGGAUUAGAUACCCUGGUAGUCCACACUGUAAACGAUGAUUACUAGGUGUUGGAGGAUUGACCCCUUCAGUGCCGCAGUUAACACAAUAAGUAAUCCACCUGGGGAGUACGACCGCAAGGUUGAAACUCAAAGGAAUUGACGGGGGCCCGCACAAGCAGUGGAGUAUGUGGUUUAAUUCGACGCAACGCGAAGAACCUUACCAAGUCUUGACAUCCUGCGACGCACAUAGAAAUAUGUGUUUCCUUCGGGACGCAGAGACAGGUGGUGCAUGGUUGUCGUCAGCUCGUGUCGUGAGAUGUUGGGUUAAGUCCCGCAACGAGCGCAACCCUUAUGGUCAGUUACUACGCAAGAGGACUCUGGCCAGACUGCCGUUGACAAAACGGAGGAAGGUGGGGAUGACGUCAAAUCAUCAUGCCCUUUAUGACUUGGGCUACACACGUACUAUAAUGGCGUUAAACAAAGAGAAGCAAGACCGCGAGGUGGAGCAAAACUCAGAAACAACGUCCCAGUUCGGACUGCAGGCUGCAACUCGCCUGCACGAAGUCGGAAUUGCUAGUAAUCGCAGAUCAGCAUGCUGCGGUGAAUACGUUCCCGGGCCUUGUACACACCGCCCGUCACACCAUG